AACGAACGCUGGCGGCAUGCCUAACACAUGCAAGUCGAACGAGACCUUCGGGUCUAGUGGCGCACGGGUGCGUAACGCGUGGGAACCUGCCCUUAGGUUCGUAAUAACUCCCCGAAAGGGGUGCUAAUACCGGCUAAUGUCUUCGGACCAAAGAUUUAUCGCCUUUGGAUGGGCCCGCGUUGGAUUAGCUAGUUGGUAGGGUAAAAGCCUACCAAGGCGACGAUCCAUAGCUGGUCUGAGAGGAUGAUCAGCCACACUGGGACUGAGACACGGCCCAGACUCCUACGGGAGGCAGCAGUGGGGAAUAUUGGACAAUGGGCGAAAGCCUGAUCCAGCAAGGCCGCGUGAGUGAUGAAGGCCUUAGGGUUGUAAAGCUCUUUUACCCGGGAGGAUAAUGACAGUACCGGGAGAAUAAGCUCCGGCUAACUCCGUG
RNAcentral lists this ribosomal RNA (433 nucleotides) under uncultured bacterium. Its description in RNAcentral is "partial 16S ribosomal RNA". It matches the Rfam family "Bacterial small subunit ribosomal RNA", at positions 29 to 507 of the family's 1533-position model. The record is from RNAcentral.